AGCGAACGCUGGCGGCAGGCCUAACACAUGCAAGUCGAACGGACCUGUCGGGGUUAGUGGCGGACGGGGGAGUAACACGUGGGGACGUGCCUUUAAGUUCCGAGUAACUCAGUGAAGCUUAUGCUAAUGCCGCUUGUGCCCUUAGGGGAUAAGAGUUAUCGCUGUUAGAGCGGCCCGCGUAUGUUUAGCUGGUUGGUUGGGGUAAUGGCUCACCAAGGCGUCGAUCAGUAGCUGGUUGGAAAGGAUGAUCAGCCACAUUGGGGCUGCGACACGGCCCCAACCCCUAGGCGGGGCUGCAGUGGGGAAUCCUGCGCGAUGGUCGAAAGCCUGGCGCUGCCAUGCCGCGUGAAUGAUGCAGGUCUUAGUAUUGCAAUAUUCUUUCACCGGCGACGAUAAUGACGGUACCGGGUUAAGAAGCCCCGGCUAACUUCGUG
RNAcentral lists this ribosomal RNA (434 nucleotides) under uncultured bacterium. RNAcentral's name for it is "partial 16S ribosomal RNA". It matches the Rfam family "Bacterial small subunit ribosomal RNA", at positions 29 to 507 of the family's 1533-position model. The record is from RNAcentral.